This 1933-nucleotide long non-coding RNA is filed under the name Phaseolus vulgaris (common bean). RNAcentral's name for it is "long non-coding RNA (PVUL_LNC004113)". The record is from RNAcentral. Lineage: Eukaryota; Viridiplantae; Streptophyta; Magnoliopsida; Fabales; Fabaceae.
AAAAGUUAAAGGAUUAAAAUUGCUCUUUUAUUUCUACCUUCUUUAUCUUCCUCCUAUGGUUUGUUUCUUUCUUAUUCACUCUACACGAAGAAAGAAAUGCAUAGAUUAUUCUCGUUUGUUUUUAUUGUUUACCAGACAUUUAUCAGCCAAGAAAACCUGAAGAUACGAAGAAAAUCACAUAGAAAGUGUUAAUUAUUAAUAUUAUUUUUGAUGUUAUAAACUUAUUUAAUAAUAAUAAUAAUUAGUUAUAAUAAUAAUAAAUAUAAUUAUUUAUAAUAAAAGAUAAUUUAUAUAAUAACAGCAUUAUGAAAUAUUUUUAUAUAUAUUUAUAAAAUUCUAAUUUGGUUUGAUUUUAUGAAAAUAUUUUUAUAUAUAUUUAUAAAAUUUUAAUUAACUAAAGUUUAUAAAAAAAAGUCACAUAUUUUAUUAUUUAAAUAUUUUUUAAGAAAAAGAUAAAUUUAUAAACUUCUAUUUUACACAUUUAAACAAAAUAAAAUUCUCUUUACAACCAUCAUAUCACUCACAAACUUCAAUAAACUUUCUUCACAAAUUCACUUUGAUAUACCAUAAUCCAAACAACCUCACUUUCUUUACACUUUCCUCUAAAAUCACUCCAAAUUCACUUUCUCAAAUCUUCUUCUCAAUCCAAUGGUUAUGCAAUAAAGGAGGGUAUUAUAAUAUUUUUGCUUAUAGUAUGGGUUGUAGUUAGUAAUCAUGGGGUGCAGUAUAAAAAGCCCUAUUUAAUAGCAAAAUUCUCUUCUCACCAGUCCAGACCAAAUCUCAAUGUUUAUUUGGUAUACUACAGGCCCAUAGAAAAACACAACCCUCCACUUUCAGUAUCUAUGAAAAACAGUUCAGUAUCAAAUUUAAGUCUACACCAAAGCUUCUUGGCAGUCACCCUAAGAAGAGAUUGAAAAGUGGCGGAAAAUUUUGAAUGAUUUUUUCAUAUCCUAAAAAGGAAGAAAAUAGUCAUAUGAGGUUAUAUACCUAAUGAUGAUGAUUAUAAUAAUAAAAGCUAAUGUAACUAAAUGAAAAUAUAAAACACAGAAUGGGUAAGAUCUGGUAAUUUAAUGUAAAGAAGUGACAAAGAGAAGGGAAGGAAGGAAGGAAGAAAAAAGGGUAAACCCUAGAAACUGAAUAGCCUUACACAGCAUAGGAGGAGUGAUGAUCCAAAAUAUGCUUUGAAGAAGUAGGGUCCAAAGGAAGGAUCCAAAAGGUACAAAAGAGAAUAUCCAAUUUUCCACAAUUAUGAUCACAGAUUGAAAGCAAUUUCCCUGUGCCAGGCGUUUCUCAAUCUCAACUUGUACAACAAAACAGUUUUCAUUACGCUCUUAACACUCUGGAUUUUAUCACCAUAUCACCAUUCCUCAAUAAUUUGCACACGAAUCUUCUAGAACUACCUAUCGUAAUCAAUUUCCAUACCAUAUAAUAAUUUACUGGGUUUAUCUUCAAAAUAUGCGAGAACUCUGACACAUUCAAGAUUACCACUACCGCUAAUAGUGUGCACAUAAAGUUGCCUUUUCUUACACGAACCAUAUACCAAAACAACAUAUUUCUUUGUUUUUUCAUUUGUCAAACGUUGACUACAGUGAUCUCUUGAAUCAUCUUUGAAUUGAAUUUGUAUAAGCCUAAUCCAAUCCAACUCAGGUCAUUUUCACACAUGAAUUUACACUCCAAAGUUAAUCCAAACGAACCAUUCAUAAUCAAAAUGGGAAUUGAAUUGUGUAAGAAUUGUCUCAAAAAUUGCAUUGAAGGCGUAGUGACAUGUUUUGAUUUUGAUGUGAUCAAUAAAAACAAGUAACUAGCAUGAAUGAAUGGAAUCAUUCUGAGUAGAUAAGGGUUACAUACCCAAAAAAACUCAAGAACCUUUCAAGGGGGAAUGCACCAUGUCCACACGUAUUCUUCAAAAUCCUCACUACCCACUCAAUUUGCA